Molecule: ribosomal RNA, 583 nt
Filed under: Tethyaster vestitus
Lineage: Eukaryota; Metazoa; Echinodermata; Asteroidea; Paxillosida; Astropectinidae
Description: partial 16S ribosomal RNA
Rfam family: Bacterial large subunit ribosomal RNA
Source: RNAcentral
CGCUCUUUGAAAAGACUAUCUAAAAUAUAAAGAGUACUGCCUGCCCAGUGACGUUAGUUCAACGGCCGCGGUAUCUUGACCGUGCAAAGGUAGCAUAAUCAUUUGCCUUUUAAAUGGAGGCUGGAAUGAAUGGCAAGACGAAAAUUUAACUGUCUCUUUCUCAACUAUCCUGAAAUUAAUUUCCUUGUGAAGAAGCGGGGAUAAAGUCGUGGGACGAGAAGACCCUAUUGAGCUUAAACAGAAAAUAUAAAUAUAUUUUUUUUAUUCUUAACUAAUAACUUACAAAAAUAUAAUUUUAUUAGGACUAAAGAUAGUGUUGUGUGUUCUAUGUUUUGGUUGGGGCAACCGCGGAGUAUAUUUAACCUCCGCUAAUAAAAAAGAAAAAGAUAUUUCUUUAAAAAAAUAAUUUGUCAAAAUGAUCCACUAUAAAAGUGAUCAAAGGAAAAAGUUACCAUAGGGAUAACAGCGUAAUUUUUUUGGAGAGUUCAUAUUGAUAAAAAAGUUUGCGACCUCGAUGUUGGAUCGGGAUUUCCUAGGGGUGUAGCAGCUUCUAAGGGUUGGUCUGUUCGACCAUUAAAAUCCU